ACGGUAACAGGUCUUCGGACGCUGACGAGUGGCGAACGGGUGAGUAAUACAUCGGAACGUGCCCAGUCGUGGGGGAUAACUACUCGAAAGAGUAGCUAAUACCGCAUACGAUCUGAGGAUGAAAGCGGGGGACCUUCGGGCCUCGCGCGAUUGGAGCGGCCGAUGGCAGAUUAGGUAGUUGGUGGGAUAAAAGCUUACCAAGCCGACGAUCUGUAGCUGGUCUGAGAGGACGACCAGCCACACUGGGACUGAGACACGGCCCAGACUCCUACGGGAGGCAGCAGUGGGGAAUUUUGGACAAUGGGCGAAAGCCUGAUCCAGCAAUGCCGCGUGCAGGAUGAAGGCCUUCGGGUUGUAAACUGCUUUUGUACGGAACGAAAAAGCUUCUCCUAAUACGAGAGGCCAUGACGGUACCGUAAGAAUAAGCACCGGCUAACUACGUGCCAGCAGCCGCGGUAAUACGUAAGGUGCGAGCGUUAAUCCGGAAUUACUG
This 493-nucleotide ribosomal RNA is filed under the name uncultured beta proteobacterium. Its description in RNAcentral is "bacterial SSU rRNA". It matches the Rfam family "Bacterial small subunit ribosomal RNA", at positions 66 to 556 of the family's 1533-position model. Lineage: Bacteria; Pseudomonadati; Pseudomonadota; Betaproteobacteria. The record is from RNAcentral.